UAGAACAGGUCAUCCUCAUUUGACUACAGAAAGUAGCUACAUGAGAAGACACUCCAUUUAAAUACACAUAUGAUGUAGCUAUAUAAAAUAGGUCAUCUUCAUUUGACUACAGAAAGUAGCUACAUGAGGAGACACUCCAUUUAAAUGCACAUAUGAUGUAGCUAUAUAAAAUAGGUCAUCCUCAUUUGACUACAGAAAGUAGCUACAUGAGAAGACACUCAAUAUAGAUACACAUAUGAUAUAGAUACAUAUUAAGGCACAUCAAUUUAUAGGAUUUAGCUAUAUAAAAUAGGU
Long non-coding RNA from Haliotis rufescens (red abalone), 294 nucleotides. RefSeq lists it as uncharacterized. The record is from RefSeq and is a predicted model, not a curated record. Lineage: Eukaryota; Metazoa; Mollusca; Gastropoda; Lepetellida; Haliotidae. The transcript is spliced from 3 exons.